CCCUACGGGGGGCAGCAGUGAGGAAUAUUGGUCAAUGGGCUUACGCCUGAACCAGCCAAGUCGCGUGAGGGAAGACUGCCCUAUGGGUUGUAAACCUCUUUUGUCAAGGAGCAGUUGGCGCUACGUGUAGCGUUAUCGAGAGUACCUGAAGAAAAAGCAUCGGCUAACUCCGUGCCAGCAGCCGCGGUAAUACGGAGGAUGCGAGCGUUAUCCGGAUUUAUUGGGUUUAAAGGGUGCGUAGGCGGAAUGCCAAGUCAGCGGUAAAAUCGCGGGGCUCAACCUCGCUCCGCCGUUGAAACUGGCGU
This 305-nucleotide ribosomal RNA is filed under the name uncultured bacterium. Its description in RNAcentral is "bacterial SSU rRNA". It matches the Rfam family "Bacterial small subunit ribosomal RNA", at positions 337 to 639 of the family's 1533-position model. The record is from RNAcentral.